This is a long non-coding RNA of Lepus europaeus (European hare), 382 nucleotides long. RefSeq lists it as uncharacterized. The transcript has 3 exons. The record is from RefSeq and is a predicted model, not a curated record. Lineage: Eukaryota; Metazoa; Chordata; Mammalia; Lagomorpha; Leporidae.
AGCGGACCUGCCACCUCCCCGCGUGCUGUCCUAGUUCUUGCCUUCCGCUUGCUACGCCCGGGGAAGGACGUUGCGGAUUCUUUAUUGGUUGAUUCAUGUAUUUCAAAGGCGGAGUUACAGAGAGAGGGAGAGAGAGCAACUGCUGGAGCUGGGCUGGUCUGAAGCCAGGAGCCAGGAGCUUCUUCUGGGUCUCCCAGUUUCCUGCUAAUGGCCUGGGAAAGCAGUAGAGGAUGGAACAAGUCCUUGGACCCCUGUACCAGCGUGAGAGACCUGGCUCCUGGCUCCAGGCUUUGGAUCAGCGCAGCUCCACCUACUGCAGCCAUUUUGUGAGUGAACUGGCAGAUGGAAGACCUCUCUCUCUCUGCCUCUGCCUCUCUGUAAC